UACGUAGGGUGCGAGCGUUGUCCGGAAUUAUUGGGCGUAAAGGGCUCGUAGGCGGUUUGUCACGUCGGGAGUGAAAACUCGGGGCUUAACUCCGAGCCUGCUUCCGAUACGGGCUGACUAGAGGUAUGCAGGGGAGAACGGAAUUCCUGGUGUAGCGGUGAAAUGCGCAGAUAUCAGGAGGAACACCGGUGGCGAAGGCAGGUCUCUGGGCCGAUACUGACGCUGAGGAGCGAAAGCGUGGGGAGCGAACAGG
Molecule: ribosomal RNA, 253 nt
Filed under: uncultured bacterium
Lineage: Bacteria
Description: partial 16S ribosomal RNA
Rfam family: Bacterial small subunit ribosomal RNA
Source: RNAcentral